RNAcentral lists this ribosomal RNA (248 nucleotides) under Mycoplasma spermatophilum. Its description in RNAcentral is "partial 16S rRNA". It matches the Rfam family "Bacterial small subunit ribosomal RNA", at positions 599 to 853 of the family's 1533-position model. The record is from RNAcentral. Lineage: Bacteria; Bacillati; Mycoplasmatota; Mollicutes; Mycoplasmatales; Mycoplasmataceae.
AUUUUGGGGCUCAACCCCAAAUCGCGUUGGAUACUGGCAGACUAGAGUUAUGUAGAGGUUAGCAGAAUUCCUUGUGAAGCGGUGAAAUGCGUAGAUAUAAGGAAGAAUAUCAAUAUGGCGAAGGCAGCUAACUGGACAUACACUGACACUGAGAGAUGAAAGCGUGGGGAGCAAACAGGAUUAGAUACCCUGGUAGUCCACGCCCUAAACGAUGAUCAUUAGCUGAUGGAGAAUUCAUCGGCGCAGCU